This is a long non-coding RNA of Bos taurus (domestic cattle), 953 nucleotides long. The record is from Ensembl. NCBI's taxonomy places the organism in Eukaryota, Metazoa, Chordata, Mammalia, Artiodactyla, Bovidae.
GUAACAUUUGAAGCCAGACUGUUUCAGAAUUAAACAAAGGUCAGUAGCUCAGAGCAAGGAGAGGAAGGUGGGACACAGCGAGGGAAACAGAAUAUUGCAAAGUAUUUCUUGAAUAUUCACACCUAAUCUUGCACUAAACCUAAGAUGACAAGCCAAGAAAGAAGCUUACUCCCCACAGAGAGAUUUUGAAGAUGCAAAUGCAAAGUUGGGGAUUUCAGACUAAAACUGUCUCUCUAUCAGAAAAAAAUGCAUGCAUUUUAUGCCUUUUGGAGAAGAUGAAGAGAGAUGGGUCUUUGAGAAAAACCUGUGAUGGAUAUGAAUCGAUGGAUAAGAUUCUGAGCUCUGCCCACGCUUCAGAGAAGCAUCUGUCAAUCCACUGACUAAUGACAAUGACUUAUGUGUCCAGACUUCAGAGUAACAGAAGGCCUGGCUCCAAAUAAUAGAGUGACCAUGUUUCCUAAAGAGACUGUAUGUGUUUAAAACAUAAAGGCAUUUUGACAGAGAGAAUAACUGAAUAGGCUUAGCUUGGUGACACUUAAAGCAUUUAACCAUGUCCCAUAUAUUUCUACAGAGGGGUAGUAUUUAGUAGUUUAUUUUCCUAUAAAUAUUAAAACCUGUGCAAAAACAGAAGAAAACAACACACAGUAAUCUAAAAGCUCAAGAAAAUUUAAGUGCACAGAUAAGAAAAUCAAAUGAACUUCUUAUUUAUUACUGUUACAAUUCCCUGUGUACAUAUGUCCUUUUAUUCUAUAUAUUUAUAGAUGAAUAAUGAUAAUAAUGAUGAUUAAUGUUCAUUCACUGCUUACUGAGUGUCAGGCCCUGUGCUGAGUACCUUAAAAGAUUUAUCCCAUUUAUCCUCUCAAUAGCCAUGGAUCUACUGAACAGAAUAGACUUCAGUUUUAAGAUGGUUUCACCUCUCAAGAUACAGAUUUCAAAGACUAAAACCAUUCUAA